Molecule: long non-coding RNA, 699 nt
Filed under: Homo sapiens (human)
Lineage: Eukaryota; Metazoa; Chordata; Mammalia; Primates; Hominidae
Description: long independently transcribed non-coding RNA 1191, transcript variant 2 (LINC01191)
Source: RNAcentral
GGGUGAGAGGUUGGGGAGUUUGCUGUCCUCUCUGUGAUGACUUGUUGCUGCCAAUCUGAUUCCUAAUGCUGUAGAUUUAUUAAGGCUAGAUGGUGGAAGAUUGGGCCCUGAUGACAACGGAGCCAUCCUGGGUUCCUCUGACCGUGAUGAACCUCCUGGGAGAGGCAGCCACAGCUGAAGCACACACAGCUCCCUUCUGCUGUGGCAGCCCCACGAGCCUGCAAACCCCCAUCUCAUCACAGCCUCGGUUCUCAGCUCUGAGGCUGGCCAGACCUCCAACUGAUGGUGGUUGCUAUUUCAGGCCCAGACAUAAUCAAAUCCAUGUGAAGAAAAGAGAUUUCUUCCUGCGUGGCCCUUUGUAAGAGAAAGAAAAUGUUCCUACAAGUCUUCCAGAGGAGUUCUUAAUGGCAGCAGUGAGGAUGCCAGAGUUCAUGGGUUUCUAGAAGACAAGUUUUCAACUGCAGAUACAAACAUCAGGACGUCAAUGUAUCUGCUAGGAGACACCCGGACAGUGUUGAGAACACAGAACCUGGAGGCUAAACCCCCAGCUUUCUAUGCCAGCUGAGAGUCUGUGGGCACAUUACUCAGCGUCUCUGAACCUCAUGCUCCUCCCCUGUGACAUGUAGAUUGCUAAACCCAUCUCACAGGGCUAUCUUCUGCAUUUAAAGAAUAAAAUAACACAUGAGGGGUCUAUCAAUG